AGGACGAACGCUGGCGGCGCGCCUAAUACAUGCAAGUCGAGCGAGAACCGGGACUUCGGUCCCGGGGAGAGCGGCGAACGGGUGCGUAUCACGUGAGCAACCUGCCUCGGAGACCGGAAUAACUCGAGGAAACUCGGGCUAAUGCCGGAUGCCCUCGGUGGACCGCAUGGUCCGGCGAGGAAAUGGAUUCCGCUCCGAGAUGGGCUCGCGGCCUAUCAGCUUGUUGGUGGGGUAACGGCCUACCAAGGCGACGACGGGUAGCUGGUCUGAGAGGACGAUCAGCCACACUGGGACUGAGACACGGCCCAGACUCCUACGGGAGGCAGCAGUAGGGAAUCUUGCGCAAUGGGGGAAACCCUGACGCAGCGACGCCGCGUGCGGGAUGAAGGCCUUCGGGUCGUAAACCGCUUUCAGCAGGGACGAAAUUGACGGUACCUGCAGAAGAAGGCCCGGCCAACUACGUGCCAGCAGCCGCGGUAA
RNAcentral lists this ribosomal RNA (480 nucleotides) under uncultured bacterium. RNAcentral's name for it is "SSU rRNA". It matches the Rfam family "Bacterial small subunit ribosomal RNA", at positions 26 to 523 of the family's 1533-position model. The record is from RNAcentral.